RNAcentral lists this small nuclear RNA (195 nucleotides) under Rhipicephalus sanguineus (brown dog tick). RNAcentral's name for it is "U2 spliceosomal RNA". It matches the Rfam family "U2 spliceosomal RNA". From Rfam's summary of the family: U2 is a small nuclear RNA (snRNA) component of the spliceosome (involved in pre-mRNA splicing). Complementary binding between U2 snRNA (in an area lying towards the 5' end but 3' to hairpin I) and the branchpoint sequence (BPS) of the intron results the bulging out of an unpaired adenosine, on the BPS, which initiates a nucleophilic attack at the intronic 5' splice site, thus starting the first of two transesterification reactions that mediate splicing. Lineage: Eukaryota; Metazoa; Arthropoda; Arachnida; Ixodida; Ixodidae. The record is from Rfam by way of RNAcentral.
AACCAUUUAUGAUGUUGCGUUGUAAAUAAUAUUGAAUAAAACUCUGUUCUUAUGAGCUUAAUAUCUGACACGGGUCCUAUUUGGUCCCAUGAUAUUGAACUUAUUUUUGGAUUAGGGUGGAGUGCUUGAAGUUUGCUUCACCUCCGCUACGGGUUAGCCCAGUUUUGCACUAUCUCUGGAAUCGGCCUGUUCACC